This is a non-coding RNA of Acanthosepion pharaonis, 113 nucleotides long. Lineage: Eukaryota; Metazoa; Mollusca; Cephalopoda; Sepiida; Sepiidae. The record is from the annotation of a GenBank genome assembly.
UUACGGCCAUAUCACGUUGAGACACUGGUUCCCGUACUAUCACCGAAGUUAAGCAACGUCAAGACUGGUCGGUAUCUAGGUGGGUGACCGCUUGAGAAUACGAAGUACUGUAA